This 484-nucleotide ribosomal RNA is filed under the name uncultured bacterium. RNAcentral describes it as "partial 16S ribosomal RNA". It matches the Rfam family "Bacterial small subunit ribosomal RNA", at positions 30 to 507 of the family's 1533-position model. The record is from RNAcentral.
AUUGAACGCUGGCGGCAGGCCUAACACAUGCAAGUCGAGCGGAUGAAGGGAGCUUGCUCCUGGAUUCAGCGGCGGACGGGUGAGUAAAGCCUAGGAAUCUGCCUGGUAGUGGGGGAUAACGUCCGGAAACGGGCGCUAAUACCGCAUACAUCCUGAGGGAGAAAGUGGGGGAUCUUCGGACCUCACGCUAUCAGAUGAGCCUAGGUCGGAUUAGCUAGUUGGUGGGGUAAAGGCCUACCAAGGCGACGAUCCGUAACUGGUCUGAGAGGAUGAUCAGUCACACUGGAACUGAGACACGGUCCAGACUCCUACGGGAGGCAGCAGUGGGGAAUAUUGGACAAUGGGCGAAAGCCUGAUCCAGCCAUGCCGCGUGUGUGAAGAAGGUCUUCGGAUUGUAGAGCACUUUAAGUUGGGAGGAAGGGCAGUAAGUUAAUACCUUGCUGUUUUGACGUUACCAACAGAAUAAGCACCGGCUAACUUCGUG